This 72-nucleotide transfer RNA is filed under the name Camelus bactrianus (Bactrian camel). It matches the Rfam family "tRNA". Rfam says of the family: Transfer RNA (tRNA) molecules are approximately 80 nucleotides in length. The record is from Rfam by way of RNAcentral. Lineage: Eukaryota; Metazoa; Chordata; Mammalia; Artiodactyla; Camelidae. RNAcentral also lists the same sequence under 1 other name.
GAGGGUAGAGCUCAGUAGUAGAGCGUGUGUUUAGCAUACACAAGGUUCUGAGUUCAAUACCCAGUACCUCCA